Small nucleolar RNA from Penicillium expansum, 113 nucleotides. It matches the Rfam family "A. fumigatus snoRNA Afu_304". Lineage: Eukaryota; Fungi; Ascomycota; Eurotiomycetes; Eurotiales; Aspergillaceae. The record is from Rfam.
UUUCCUGAUGAAUAAGAGCACUGCUCGAAAUUAACCCAGCUCGUUGAGUGCCCUCAUUAAAAGGAUACUCACAAUCCGAGGGCACCUUGAGAAAAAAAGUUAUAUGCUGAAAA